GAUGAAGAACGUAGCGAAAUGCGAUAAGUAAUGUGAAUUGCAGAAUUCAGUGAAUCAUCGAAUCUUUGAACGCACAUUGCGCCCCUUGGUAUUCCGGGGGCAUGCCUGUUCGAGCGUCAUUAUAACCCCUCAAGCUCAGCUUGGUGUUGGGGCCUGCCAACUGGCAGCCCUUAAAAUCAGUGGCGGCGCCAUCUGGCUCUAAGCGUAGUAAUUUCUCUCGCUAUAGGGUCCCGGUGGAUGCUUGCCAACAACCCCCAAUUUUCUAUGGUUGACCUCGGAUCAGGUAGGGAUACCCGCUGAACUUAAGCAUAUCAAUAAGCGGAGGA
Molecule: unclassified non-coding RNA, 326 nt
Filed under: soil metagenome
Description: partial contains 5.8S ribosomal RNA, internal transcribed spacer 2, and large subunit ribosomal RNA
Rfam family: 5.8S ribosomal RNA (bases 1-119)
Source: RNAcentral